GAUGAACGCUGGCGGCGUGCCUAAUACAUGCAAGUCGAGCGAACAGACGAUGCGCUUGCUCCUCUCACGUUAGCGGCGGACGGGUGAGUCACACGUGGAUAACCUACCUAUAAGACUGGGAUCACUACGGGACUCCGGCUCUUAUACCGGAUAAUAUCCUGAACCGCAUUGUUCAUUAGUGAGAGACGGCUUUGCUGUCACUUCUAGCUGGAUAUCCGCCGCAUUAGCUAGUUGGUACGGUAACGGCUUACCAAGGCAACUAUGCGUAGCCGACGUGACAGGGUGGUCGGCCACACGGGAGCUGAGACACGGUCCAGACUCCUGCGGGAGGCAGCAGUAGGGAACGUUCGGCAGUGGGCGAAAGUCUGACGCAGCGAGGCCGCGUGUGUGAUGGCAGUCUCGGGAUCGGAAAACUCUGUUAUUGGGGAUAAACAGCUGUGGCAGGAGCUGUGCACGUCGUGACGGUACCUGGUAAGAAAGCCACGGCUAACUACGUG
This 497-nucleotide ribosomal RNA is filed under the name uncultured bacterium. RNAcentral describes it as "partial 16S ribosomal RNA". It matches the Rfam family "Bacterial small subunit ribosomal RNA", at positions 28 to 507 of the family's 1533-position model. The record is from RNAcentral.